RNAcentral lists this ribosomal RNA (313 nucleotides) under uncultured Lactobacillus sp. Its description in RNAcentral is "bacterial SSU rRNA". It matches the Rfam family "Bacterial small subunit ribosomal RNA", at positions 381 to 688 of the family's 1533-position model. Lineage: Bacteria; Bacillati; Bacillota; Bacilli; Lactobacillales; Lactobacillaceae. The record is from RNAcentral.
GUCUGAUGGAGCACGCCGCGUGAGUGAAGAAGGUUUUCGGAUCGUAAGCUCUGUUGUUGAUGAAGAACAUGCCUGAGAGUAACUGUUCAGGUAUUGACGGUAUUCAACCAGAAAGCCACGGCUAACUACGUGCCAGCAGCCGCGGUAAUACGUAGGUGGCAAGCGUUGUCCGGAUUUAUUGGGCGUAAAGCGAGCGUAGGCGGUUUAUUAAGUUUGAUGUGAAAGCCCUCGGCUUAACCGAGGAAGUGCAUCGAAAACUGGUAAACUUGAGUGCAGAAGAGGAGAGUGGAACUCCAUGUGUAGCGGUGAAAUC